UACGAAGGGGGCUAGCGUUGCUCGGAAUCACUGGGCGUAAAGGGUGCGUAGGCGGGUCUUUAAGUCAGGGGUGAAAUCCUGGAGCUCAACUCCAGAACUGCCUUUGAUACUGAAGAUCUUGAGUUCGGGAGAGGUGAGUGGAACUGCGAGUGUAGAGGUGAAAUUCGUAGAUAUUCGCAAGAACACCAGUGGCGAAGGCGGCUCACUGGCCCGAUACUGACGCUG
Molecule: ribosomal RNA, 225 nt
Filed under: uncultured bacterium
Lineage: Bacteria
Description: partial 16S ribosomal RNA
Rfam family: Bacterial small subunit ribosomal RNA
Source: RNAcentral